CCUACGGGAGGCAGCAGUAGGGAAUAUUGGUCAAUGGACGAAAGUCUGAACCAGCCAUCCCGCGUGCAGGACGACGGCCCUAUGGGUUGUAAACUGCUUUUAUACAGGAAGAAUAAGCCUUACGUGUAAGGUGAUGACGGUACUGUAAGAAUAAGGAUCGGCUAACUCCGUGCCAGCAGCCGCGGUAAUACGGAGGAUCCAAGCGUUGUCCGGAUUUAUUGGGUUUAAAGGGUGCGUAGGCGGUUUGUUAAGUCAGUGGUGAAAGUUUGCGGCUUAACCGUAAAAUUGCCAUUGAAACUGACAGACUUGAAUUUGGUUGAGGUUGCCGGAAUGUGUCAUGUAGCGGUGAAAUGCUUAGAUAUGAUACAGAACACCAAUUGCGAAGGCAGGUAACUAAACCAAUAUUGACGCUGAGGCACGAAAGCGUGGGGAUCAAACAGGAUUAGAUACCCUGGUAGUCCACGCCCUAAACGUUGAUUACUCGUUGUUGGCGAUACACUGUCAGCGACUAACGACGAAGACGUUAAGUAAUACCACCGUCGGGUAGGUACGGACCGACCGAAGGUUAGGUAAACGUACAAAUAGUAAGUUAGUACGGUUCGUUGUAGACGUUGCCGACGGACGACGACGAGGGAGGAGG
This 640-nucleotide ribosomal RNA is filed under the name uncultured bacterium. Its description in RNAcentral is "bacterial SSU rRNA". The stretch from base 1 to 538 matches the Rfam family "Bacterial small subunit ribosomal RNA", at positions 338 to 873 of the family's 1533-position model. The record is from RNAcentral.